Culex quinquefasciatus (southern house mosquito) is the source of this 923-nucleotide long non-coding RNA. RefSeq lists it as uncharacterized. The transcript has 3 exons. Lineage: Eukaryota; Metazoa; Arthropoda; Insecta; Diptera; Culicidae. The record is from RefSeq and is a predicted model, not a curated record.
GAACGAAAAUGAGCGGCUCCUAAAAAAGAGCGGUUUUGCCCACCUCUAGUGCAAACCCUACUACGAGAUGCUUCUGUGGAAGGUUAGCUGAAGCUAAUCCGUGGAGCUGUUUGCCCUCAAGGCGCUCCUUCAACUACAACUUUGAGACGUUCGGUGACCAGAAGAAGAUCUGCCACUGUUGUGCGGGCAAAUGUUCCGGGCUAAUCGUUAGCCAAGGACGGAGGAUUGGAAUGAGGAGACCAUAACGGUUUUGCGCGACUUGCAGGUGCUGAUUGCAACGUGGGUUACCUGCUCGAGUGCUCAAACGCCAACAGUAACGACGUCGGCCGCAACUACAGCACCUCCGCCACCCCCGCCUGCGGCAAAGUACCAAGCAAAUAUUGCGAUAUUGACCACUCGAUGACGGAUUCGAACUUGGUUGAAUACAGGACGAAAAUGGUAGCGCAAUUUCGGUGGAGGAGAUUUGGACCUGAUAGUGGAUAGUGAUGGCCACGGACAGCACCGCGUGUGUCUCGGAAUGUUUGAGUUACUCCUCUUGCGUCUGCAGGUUCUUUUCGUUUCACCGAAUAUGCCACCUCCUCGGCCACUACCACCGCCAUCAUCCUCAGCGCUUCCCUCGCCGCAACGCGUCAGGAAGCUUUAGAAUUGGUCCAGAAUGUUCAAAAUCAAGUAGAAAGCUUCGUCGUCUCCGAACAUUGUUUCUGGUCCGAUUCACCGAUUGGGCCUCUUUCUUGGGUUCUUCAUCCAGCAGAGCGUCAAAAUUCGCGACCAGCUUCUUACCGUCGAUGUCCAUGUCGUGCAGCACUCGAACGGCACGCGCACCCGUCACAGGACCACUGAGAGGAGAAUCUUUGGCGCAAUCUCUAAAAUCUCUGAAUUAGCUACAAAACAUACUCCAGGCCCGUAGCCAGGGGGUGGGCUGA